GCCUCCGUAGUUCAACUUGGAUAGAAUGCGGGCUUGCGGAGCCUGAGAUUUGGGUUCAAAUCCCGACGGAGGCG
RNAcentral lists this transfer RNA (74 nucleotides) under Microcaldota archaeon. RNAcentral describes it as "Candidatus Micrarchaeota archaeon (hot springs metagenome) tRNA-Arg". It matches the Rfam family "tRNA". From Rfam's summary of the family: Transfer RNA (tRNA) molecules are approximately 80 nucleotides in length. Lineage: Archaea; Nanobdellati; Microcaldota. The record is from RNAcentral.